Molecule: long non-coding RNA, 244 nt
Organism: Octopus sinensis (East Asian common octopus)
Lineage: Eukaryota; Metazoa; Mollusca; Cephalopoda; Octopoda; Octopodidae
Exons: 2
Source: RefSeq, a predicted model, not a curated record
CGUGCCGAUUUUUAAAGGAAAGAAAAAAAGAAAAAAAAAAUGGUAAUGCUGUCUGUCGAUGUAAUUGCUGAUAAUGGACCAAAUAAUAGAAUUAAAAUGUUAACUUGUUAAAAAUCAUGUGACAGUCUUUGAUGAUGGAGCUAUGGAAUGCUUUCCUAAAAUAUUUUAGCAUCUCUACCUGUUUUUAGUGGCUGUGAAUUAAACUAGGAAAGAUAUUUGAAACAGUUUGGCUUUUUUGAAAAAA